This 615-nucleotide ribosomal RNA is filed under the name uncultured bacterium. RNAcentral describes it as "bacterial SSU rRNA". It matches the Rfam family "Bacterial small subunit ribosomal RNA", at positions 1 to 593 of the family's 1533-position model. The record is from RNAcentral.
GGUCGCGGNGAUUCGAUUGAGUUUGAUCCUGGCUCAGGAUGAACGCUGGCGGCGUGCUUAACACAUGCAAGUCGAACGGAGAUGUUGCAGCAGAAGCGAAUAGCUUGCUAUGAGUGGAAACGGUGGCAUCUUAGUGGCGGACGGGUGAGUAACGCGUGGGCAACCUGCCCUGCACUGGGGGAUAACACUUAGAAAUAGGUGCUAAUACCGCAUAAUAAAAUAUAUUGCAUGAUAUAUUUUUGAAAGCUGCGGCGGUGCAGGAUGGGCCCGCGUCUGAUUAGCCAGUUGGUGGGGUAACGGCCCACCAAAGCGACGAUCAGUAGCCGGCCUGAGAGGGUGGACGGCCACAUUGGGACUGAGACACGGCCCAAACUCCUACGGGAGGCAGCAGUGGGGGAUAUUGGACAAUGGGGGGAACCCUGAUCCAGCGACGCCGCGUGAGUGAAGAAGUAUUUCGGUAUGUAAAGCUCUAUCAGCAGGGAAGAAAAGAAUGACGGUACCUGAAUAAGAAGCCCCGGCUAACUACGUGCCAGCAGCCGCGGUAAUACGUAGGGGGCAAGCGUUAUCCGGAUUUACUGGGUGUAAAGGGAGCGUAGACGGUUACGUAAGUCUGGA